Molecule: ribosomal RNA, 51 nt
Filed under: uncultured bacterium
Lineage: Bacteria
Description: partial 16S ribosomal RNA
Source: RNAcentral
UGAGCAACCUGCCCUUGGCUUUGGGAUAACCCGUCGGGAAACGGGGGCUAA